RNAcentral lists this ribosomal RNA (600 nucleotides) under uncultured bacterium. RNAcentral describes it as "bacterial SSU rRNA". It matches the Rfam family "Bacterial small subunit ribosomal RNA", at positions 32 to 620 of the family's 1533-position model. The record is from RNAcentral.
AACGCUACUCGGGAGCUCACCACAUGUCAAGCCGAGCGGUAGAGAUUCUUCGGAAUCUUGAAGAGCGGCGCACGGGUGCGGAACACGUGUGCAACCUGCCUUUAUCUUGGGGGAUAGCCUUUCGAAAGGGAGAUUACUACCCCAUAAUAUACUGAGUGGCAUCACUUAUUAUUGAAAACUCCGGUGGAUAGAGAUGGGCACGCGCAAGAUUAGAUAGUUGGUGAGGUAACGGCUCACCAAGUCAAUGAUCUUUAGGGGGCCUGAGAGGGUGAUCCCCCACACUGGUACUGAGACACGGACCAGACUCCUACGGGAGGCAGCAGUGAGGAAUAUUGGACAAUGGGUGAGAGCCUGAUCCCAGCCAUCCCGCGUGAAGGACGACGGCCUAUGGGUUGUAAACUUCUUAUUGUACAGUGGCUAAACCUUUUCCACACGUGUGGAAAGCCUGAAGGUACUGUACGAAGAAUAAGCACCGGCUAACUCCGUGCCAGCAGCCGCGGUAAUACGGAGCGUGCAAGCGUUAUCCGGAUGUAUUGAGUUUAAAGGGUCCGUAGGCGGAUCUGUAAGUCAGUGGUGAGAUCUCAUAGCUUAACUAUGAGA